CCCAAGAUGGAUUCCCAGGCUGCCCAAGAUGGAUUCCCAGGCUGCCCAAGAUGGAUUCCCAGGCUGCCCAAGAUGGAUUCCCAGGCUGCCCAAGAUGGAUUCCCAGGUUGCCCAAGAUGGAUUCCCAGGCUGGCCAUGAUGGAUUCCCAGGCUGCACAUGAUUGAUUCCCAGGCUGCCCAAGAUGGAUUCCCAGGCUGCCCAAGAUGGAUUCCCAGGCUGUCCAUGAUGGAUUCCCAGGCUGCCCAAGAUGGAUUCCCAGGUUGCCCAAGAUGGAUUCCCAGGCUGGCCAUGAUGGAUUCCCAGGCUGCCCAUGAUUGAUUCCCAGGCUGCCCAAGAUGGAUUCCCAGGCUGCCCAAGAUGGAUUCCCAGGCUGCCCAAGAUGGAUUCCCAGGCUGCCCAAGAUGGAUUCCCAGGCUGCCCAAGAUUGAUUCCCAGGCUGCCCAAGAUGGAUUCCCAGGCUGCCCAAGAUGGAUUCCCAGGCUGCCCAAGAUGGAUUCCCAGGCUGCCCAAGAUGGAUUCCCAGGCUGCCCAAGAUGGAUUCCCAGGCUGCCCAUGUUGUUGCCUGCUAGUGCUACGCUUUGUGACAGCUAAACUACAGCGGCUAGUUGUUAUACUACAGUGGCUAUACUACAGCUGCUAAACUACAGCUGCAAUACUACAGCGGCUAUACUACAGCUGCUAUAGUACAGCGGUUAUACUACAGUGGUUAUACUUCAGUGGUUAUACUACAGCGGUUAUACUACAGCGGCUAAAUUACAGCGGCUAUACUACAGCGGUUAUACUACAGCGGCUAUACUACAGCGGCUAUACUACAGCGGUUAUACUACAGCGGCUAACCUACAGCUGCUAUACUACAGAUGCUAUACUACAGCUGCUAUACUACAGCGGCUAUGGUACAGCGGCUAUGCUACAGCGGCUAUACUACAGCUGCUAUACUACAGCUGCUAUACUACAGCUGCUAUACUACAGCGGCUAACCUACAGCGGCUAUGCUACAGCGGCUAUACUACAGCGGCUAUACUACAGCGGCUAACUACAGCUGCUAUACUACAGCGGUUAUACUACAGCUGCUAUACUACAGAGGCUAUACUACAGCUGCUAUACUACAGCUGCUAUACUACAGCUGCUAUACUACAGCUGCUAUACUACAGCUGCUAUGCUACAGCUGCUAUACUACAGCUGCUAUACUACAGCUGCUAUGCUACAGCGGCUAUGCUACAGCGGCAAUACUACAGCGGCUAUACUACAGCGGUUAUACUACAGCGGCUAACCUACAGCUGCUAUGCUACAGCUGCUAUGCUACAGCGGCUAUGCUACAGCGGCUAUGCUACAGCGGCUAUACUACAGCGGCUAACUACAGCUGCUAUACUACAGCUGCUAUACUACAGCUGCUAAACUACAGCUGCUAUACUACAGCGGCUAUGCUACAGCUGCUAUACUACAGCUGCUAUGCUACAGCGGCUAUGCUACAGCGGCUAUGCUACAGCGGUUAUACUACAGCGGUUAUACUACAGCUGCUGUGCUACAGCUGCUAUGCUACAGCUGCUAUGCUACAGCGGCUAUGCUACAGCGGCUAUGCUACAGCGGUUAUACUACAGCGGUUAUACUACAGCUGCUAUGCUACAGCGGCUAUGCUACAGCGGUUAUACUACAGCACCUAAGACACAGUAAUAUCAGCCUUUUUCUCUAUAACCUGAGCUCAUCAUUAUAUAUCAGAGCUCUGGUUUAUCUAUGGCACAGUAGAAAUGACAGAAAUAGAGAAUCCAGAUUUCCCUGUAUUGUGGUUAUAUACUGUAUGUACAGCUGCAGCUGUACCACCAAGUGGUUUUGGUGAUUUAUUUUACAUCAGGGUUUUUUUCUCAGGAGAUUUAAGUUGCUGUGGGAUUUUUUUCUUUUUAAGAAUUAAAAUAAUUUUAACAAAGUAUCAUUACUGAAUAAUGGAACUAUCAUUUAACAGGCACGAGAAAUACAGGUAGCCUAGUGGUUCGAGCGUUGGGCCAGUAACCCAAAAGGUUGCUGGAGCGAAUCCCCGAGCUGACAAGGUAAAAAUGUGUCAUUCUGCCCCUGAACAAGGCAGUUAAACCCACUGUUCCUAGGCCAUCAUUGUAAAUAAGAAUUUGUUCUUAACUGACUUACUUGCCUGGUUAGAUAAAGGUUAAAUAAAUGUUAAAUAAAGGUUAAAUAAAAUAAAAAUACAGUAAGUUCAAGAUCUCUACAGUAGCUUUGAGAGUGUUGUUGGGGGGGGUCUAGAUGGAGCUAGUGUUUAUGUACUGUAACUGUUCAGAUAUAUUACUCUGUGUAUAUUACAGUAUAUUACAGUUGGCACUUGGAAAGAGGACAUACAUACAAAGUCCUACUGUAUAUGGUGCUAUGACUGAGAAUAAAUAGACUUCAAUACAAGAUUGGCUAGAUAUGUUAUUUAUUGGCUCAGGCAACCAACAGUAGCCCCAUCAAUAUAACUCCUGUGGUUGGAGGAUUACAUAUUACCAUAGAAUUUGACUAUGACCCUCAGAGCAGCCUAAAUUCGUCGGGGUAUGAACUCUACAAGGGGGGCGAAAGCAUUCCACUGGGAUGCUGGCUCAUGUUGACUCCAAUGCUUCCCACAUUAGUGUCAAGUUGGCGAGAGGGAGAGAGAGAGACAGAGAGAGAGGGGGAGGGGGAGAGAGGGAGAGAGAGAGACAGAGAGAGAGGGGAGGGGGAGAGAGACAGAGAGAGAGAGACAGAGAGAGAGAGGGAGAGACAGAGAGAGGGGGAGAGAGAGAGAGAGAGGGAGAGAGAGAGAGAGAGAGAGGGAGGGAGAGAGAGAUAGACAGAGAGAGAGGGGGAGGGAGAGAAAGAGA
RNAcentral lists this long non-coding RNA (2840 nucleotides) under Salmo salar (Atlantic salmon). RNAcentral's name for it is "lncRNA (ENSSSAG00000084120.1)". The record is from RNAcentral. Lineage: Eukaryota; Metazoa; Chordata; Actinopteri; Salmoniformes; Salmonidae.